CGGGUGAGUAACGCGUGGGUAACCUGCCUUAUACAAGGGGAUAACAGAGGGAAACUUCUGCUAAUACCGUAUAAAAAUAUUUCACGCAUGUGAGAUAUUUGAAAGAUUUAUCAGUAUGAGAUGGACCCGCGUCUGAUUAGGUAGUUGGUGAGGUAGAGGCUCACCAAGCCGACGAUCGGUAGCCGAUCUGAGAGGAUGACCGGCCACAUUGGGACUGAGACACGGCCCAA
Molecule: ribosomal RNA, 230 nt
Filed under: uncultured bacterium
Lineage: Bacteria
Description: partial 16S ribosomal RNA
Rfam family: Bacterial small subunit ribosomal RNA
Source: RNAcentral